UACGGGGGGGGCAAGCGUUGUCCGGAAUCACUGGGCGUAAAGCGCGCGUAGGUGGCUUCGUAAGUCCGUUGUGAAAGUCAAAGGCUCAACCUUUGAAAGCCGAUGGAUACUGUGAAGCUAGAGUACGGAAGAGGCGAGUGGAAUUCCUGGUGUAGCGGUGGAAUGCGCAGAUAUCAGGAGGAACACCAAUAGCGAAGGCAGCUCGCUGGGACGUUACUGACACUGAGGCGCGAAAGCGUGGGGAGCGAACAGG
Molecule: ribosomal RNA, 253 nt
Filed under: uncultured bacterium
Lineage: Bacteria
Description: partial 16S ribosomal RNA
Rfam family: Bacterial small subunit ribosomal RNA
Source: RNAcentral